This 440-nucleotide ribosomal RNA is filed under the name uncultured bacterium. RNAcentral's name for it is "partial 16S ribosomal RNA". It matches the Rfam family "Bacterial small subunit ribosomal RNA", at positions 338 to 795 of the family's 1533-position model. The record is from RNAcentral.
CCUACGGGAGGCAGCAGUGGGGAAUAUUGCACAAUGGGGGGAACCCUGAUGCAGCGACGCCGCGUGAGUGAAGAAGUAAUUCGGUAUGUAAAGCUCUAUCAGCAGGGAAGAAAAUGACGGUGCCUGAGUAAUAAGCCGCGGCUAACUACGUGCCAGCAGCCGCGGUAAUACGUAGGGGGCAAGAGGUAUCCGGAUUUACUGGGUGUAAAGGGAGCGUAGACGGCAGUGCAAGUCUGGAGUGAAAGGCGGGGGCUCAACCCCCGGACUGCUCUGGAAACUGUACGGCUGGAGUGCAGGAGAGGUAAGUGGAAUGCCUAGUGUAGCGGUGAAAUGCGUAGAUAUUAGGAGGAACACCAGUGGCGAAGGCGGCUUACUGGACUGUAACUGACGUUGAGGCUCGAAAGCGUGGGGAGCAAACAGGAUUAGAUACCCGUGUAGUC